CUACGGGACGCACCAGUAGGGAAUCUUAGACAAUGGGGGAAACCCUGAUCUAGCCAUGCCGCGUGAGUGAUGAAGGCCUUAGGGUUGUAAAGCUCUUUCGCUGGGGAAGAUAAUGACGGUACCCAGUAAAGAAACCACGGCUAACUCCGUGCCAGCAGCCGCGGUAAUACGGAGGGGGUUAGCGUUGUUCGGAAUUACUGGGCGUAAAGCGCGCGUAGGCGGGCUAUUAAGUCAGGGGUGAAAUCCCGGGGCUCAACCCCGGAACUGCCUUUGAUACUGGUAGUCUUGAGUUCGAGAGAGGUGAGUGGAAUUCCGAGUGUAGAGGUGAAAUUCGUAGAUAUUCGGAGGAACAUCAGUGGCGAAGGCGACCCACUGGCUCGAUACUGACGCUGAGGUGCGAAAGUGUGGGGAGCAAACAGGAUUAGAUACCCCAGUAGUC
This 439-nucleotide ribosomal RNA is filed under the name uncultured bacterium. RNAcentral describes it as "partial 16S ribosomal RNA". It matches the Rfam family "Bacterial small subunit ribosomal RNA", at positions 339 to 795 of the family's 1533-position model. The record is from RNAcentral.